This 257-nucleotide ribosomal RNA is filed under the name Succinea puna. Its description in RNAcentral is "Succinea sp. n. CAT-2020 partial large subunit ribosomal RNA". The record is from RNAcentral. Lineage: Eukaryota; Metazoa; Mollusca; Gastropoda; Stylommatophora; Succineidae.
CAAUUGUUUUUUAAUUGAGGACUAGAAUGAAUGAAUUUAUGGUUAAAUUCUUUAUUUAUAUAUUUUAUUAAAAUUUAUUUAUUAGGUGAAAAUACCUAAUUUUAUUUAUUAGACGAGAAGACCCCAGGAAUUUGAUCUUUUUUUUUUUAUUGGGGCGAUAUCUAAACAUCUUAAACUUUAGAUUUAUAAUAAAACGAUUUUUUUUAAUUUAAAAUAAAUUACCCGGGGGAUAACAGCAUAAUUUUUUAUAAAGAUUG